UUGGAGGGCAAGUCUGGUGCCCGCAGCCGCGGUAAUUCCAGCUCCAAUAGCGUAUAUUAAAGUUGCUGCAGUUAAAAGGCUCGUAGUUGAAUUUCGGGACCAUCAUGUCGGUCGUGCCUCGGUACGUACUGGUAUUGUUGGUUUCUCCCUUCUGACGAACCAUGAUGUCAUUUAUUUGGUGUUGUGGGGAAUCAGGACUGUUACUUUGAAAAAAUUAGAGUGUUUAAAGCAGGC
This 234-nucleotide ribosomal RNA is filed under the name uncultured Glomus. Its description in RNAcentral is "partial 18S ribosomal RNA". It matches the Rfam family "Eukaryotic small subunit ribosomal RNA", at positions 548 to 785 of the family's 1831-position model. The record is from RNAcentral. Lineage: Eukaryota; Fungi; Glomeromycota; Glomeromycetes; Glomerales; Glomeraceae.